RNAcentral lists this ribosomal RNA (301 nucleotides) under uncultured bacterium. Its description in RNAcentral is "partial 16S ribosomal RNA". It matches the Rfam family "Bacterial small subunit ribosomal RNA", at positions 509 to 808 of the family's 1533-position model. The record is from RNAcentral.
CAGUCGCCGCGGUAAUACGUAGGGUGCAAGCGUUAAUCGGAAUUACUGGGCGUAAAGCGUGCGCAGGCGGUUAUAUAAGACAGAUGUGAAAUCCCCGGGCUCAACCUGGGAACUGCAUUUGUGACUGUAUAGCUAGAGUACGGCAGAGGGGGAUGGAAUUCCGCGUGUAGCAGUGAAAUGCGUAGAUAUGCGGAGGAACACCGAUGGCGAAGGCAAUCCCCUGGGCCUGUACUGACGCUCAUGCACGAAAGCGUGGGGAGCAAACAGGAUUAGAUACCCCCGAGUCCCUGUCUCUUAUACA